Molecule: ribosomal RNA, 204 nt
Filed under: uncultured bacterium
Lineage: Bacteria
Description: partial 16S ribosomal RNA
Rfam family: Archaeal small subunit ribosomal RNA
Source: RNAcentral
UAAUACCAGCACCCCGAGUGGUCGGGACGAUUAUUGGGCCUAAAGCAUCCGUAGCCGGUUCUACAAGUCUUCCGUUAAAUCCACCUGCUCAACAGAUGGGCUGCGGAGGAUACUAUAGAGCUAGGAGGCGGGAGAGGCAAGCGGUACUUAGUGGGUAGGGGUAAAAUCCGUUGAUCCAUUGAAGACCACCAGUGGCGAAGGCGG